AGAAAUAUACAUGAAGAAUAUUAGAUUAAUCAAAGAAUGAUCAAUUCGUAAAAAGAAGAAGAAAGCAGAGGAAGAAUUGUAGAGAAGAGGAUAAGAAUGAGUAUGGAAGUCUGAGUUGAUUCAUUCAGUUGGUUGGGUUUUUAUAUCAAACCCAACGGUAACUUCAACAGUAAAACAAGAAAUAAAACGCGGGUAAAAACACGUGUCCCCGUUUAAUACAUCGAGAGUUAAAACGUAAAUGGAAAUAGACGGAAGAUCAAAACUCGUCGUUUCAUUUAGUUGCUUCUCUUCCAUCCAUCCACGUUGACUAACGGUCUUUUUUGACUCCAUUUGUUCUUGCUGCAUUCAACAAAGAAGGAAAAUAAAAGAGUCUAUCCUGUUGUUAUUCAACUCUUCAAUCUCUAUUGCGAGAUGAGAGGGGGUAGAGCAUCUGGUAAGAGCGCAAUCUACCUAUUACGCGUCCCAUUUGGCCUCCAAAACCAGCAAAUUGGUUCUGAAAAAGUGUAAUCCCUGUCUAGGUGAGUGAUUAACAACUCGUACCACUCACUGCAAAGCACCAAAAUGCUCUACUUGUUGUGGCGACUCCACGAACUAGCACAAGUAGUUAACAACGACCUGCAGGACUAGAGUAGGCAUGGCACUGGGUUCGGGCAGUGACGGAUAGUCAUCUUCCGAUCCCCGCCCCUCACUAUCACUGGGUUUCCCUGGUCCCGACUCCGGAGGCAAAACGGGGAUGAUUUCAGUACCUUCCCUGUCCCCAUCCGCUUACCGGAUUUUCGGGUUUUACCCGAGACCCGGUGAUAAUCAUCAGUUUUGUCGAUUCCAUCAGUGCACCCAAUGACCCAAGACAAAAAUAGUUUUGUCGGAAGCUGAAGUCUCUUGUUUUGUCAAUUCCAUCAAUACCCACCGAUGCAGAUUGCAGAAUGCAGAGAGGUAGACUACCGAGGAAGGAAGAAGAAGGAAAGGUGUAAAGGGAGAUAAAAAAUAAUAAAAGCUUAAGAGUUGGCUACAGCC
Molecule: long non-coding RNA, 1014 nt
Filed under: Linum usitatissimum (flax)
Lineage: Eukaryota; Viridiplantae; Streptophyta; Magnoliopsida; Malpighiales; Linaceae
Description: long non-coding RNA (LUSI_LNC005223)
Source: RNAcentral